This 498-nucleotide ribosomal RNA is filed under the name uncultured bacterium. RNAcentral's name for it is "partial 16S ribosomal RNA". It matches the Rfam family "Bacterial small subunit ribosomal RNA", at positions 30 to 523 of the family's 1533-position model. The record is from RNAcentral.
AUUGAACGCUGGCGGAAUGCUUUACACAUGCAAGUCGAGCGGCAGCGCGGGGCAACCUGGCGGCGAGCGGCGAACGGGUGAGUAAUGUAUCGGAACGUGUCCUGUCGUGGAGGAUAGCCCGGUGAAAACCGGAUUAAUACCGCAUACGAUCGAGAGAUGAAAGUGAGGGACCGCAAGGCCUCACGCGAUAGGAGCGGCCGAUAUCUGAUUAGCUAGUUGGUGGGGUAAAGGCCCACCAAGGCUUCGAUCAGUAGCUGGUCUGAGAGGAUGAUCAGCCACACUGGGACUGAGACACGGCCCAGACUCCUACGGGAGGCAGCAGUGGGGAAUUUUGGACAAUGGGGGCAACCCUGAUCCAGCCAUUCCGCGUGAGUGAAGAAGGCCUUCGGGUUGUAAAGCUCUUUUGUCCGGGAAGAAACGGUUUUGGCUAAUAACCAAGACUACUGACGGUACCGGAAGAAUAAGGACCGGCUAACUACGUGCCAGCAGCCGCGGUAA